UACGUAGGGUGCGAGCGUUGUCCGGAAUUAUUGGGCGUAAAGAGCUUGUAGGCGGUUUGUCGCGUCUGCCGUGAAAAUCCGGGGCUCAACCCCGGACUUGCGGUGGGUACGGGCAGACUUGAGUACUGCAGGGGAGACUGGAAUUCCUGGUGUAGCGGUGGAAUGCGCAGAUAUCAGGAAGAACACCCGUGGCGAAGGCGGCUCUCUGGGACGGUACUGACGCUGAGACGCGAAAGCGUGGGGAGCGAACAGG
RNAcentral lists this ribosomal RNA (253 nucleotides) under uncultured bacterium. RNAcentral describes it as "partial 16S ribosomal RNA". It matches the Rfam family "Bacterial small subunit ribosomal RNA", at positions 524 to 776 of the family's 1533-position model. The record is from RNAcentral.